AGCAACUGGCAGAAGCUGCCGAGGUGUUUUGAUAAGUGAUUUUAUGUGAAAAUAAACUUGAAUGAUCCUGUAUCAGUCAGAAUAACAGAUUAUACCAACAAAUCAUCUUAAUAUAUUAAUGGCUUACAACAACAGAAGGUCAUUUUCUUCCCAUAUUCUGUGACCAUGUUGUGUCUGCUGGGGGCUGUGACCUCUGCAGUCAUCAGAAUGACCCUUUUAUCCACUCAUGAAAUCUCAGAGAAGCCCCCACCAUCUGGACACCAGCUAUUGAUAAAGCAGGGGAAGAAAAUCUUGUAAAUCAAGAAACAGGACAUACAGUCUCUGGUCAUAGGACAUUGGCUAAAACAAGUGACAUGACUGUGCCUAAUUUAAGCAGGGAGGAGUGAUGCAAUCUCCCUGUGCUUCUGGAAGAAAAAUGGUGCUAAGCAGGCAUCAAAGUGGUGACUAGCUAUUGGAGUAUGGAGUGAUCUCUAGCCAGUGCAGCUACUGAAAUCUGUCUGAACUUGCUCACCUGCCAUGGGAGAACCAGAAAGAAGAUAGGGCUAAAAUGUAAGGAGAGGAACACAUUCUCACGUGGCAACUGAAAAGAUCAGAAAAUAUGUUUCAUCAUUG
Non-coding RNA from Microcebus murinus (gray mouse lemur), 612 nucleotides. NCBI's taxonomy places the organism in Eukaryota, Metazoa, Chordata, Mammalia, Primates, Cheirogaleidae. The record is from RefSeq and is a predicted model, not a curated record.